UACGUAGGGUGCAGGCGUUAAUCGGAAUUACUGGGCGUAAAGCGUGCGUAGGCGGUUUGUUCAGACAGGUGUGAAAUCCCCGGGCUUAACCUGGGAACUGCGCUUGUUACUGGCAGACUUGAGUGUGGCAGAGGGGGGUGGAAUUCCACGUGUAGCAGUGAAAUGCGUAGAGAUGUGGAGGAACACCGAUGGCGAAGGCAGCCCCCUGGGCUAACACUGACGCUGAUGCACGAAAGCGUGGGGAGCAAACAGG
RNAcentral lists this ribosomal RNA (253 nucleotides) under uncultured bacterium. Its description in RNAcentral is "partial 16S ribosomal RNA". It matches the Rfam family "Bacterial small subunit ribosomal RNA", at positions 524 to 776 of the family's 1533-position model. The record is from RNAcentral.